UCUAAAUUAAAAAAAACUUAAGAUUUUGGUUAGCAUCCCAUCUACACAUCAGUUUGGAAGGAAGUAAGAGGUUAACACUAAUGAGUCUUCUGAUUCACGAACGUGGUAUUUCUCUCCAUUAACGUGGGCCUUCCUGACUUUCAGUAAUGUUUGGGAGUUGUUAGUGUAGAAGCCUUAGACAUCUUCUGUCUGAUUUAUCUCUAAGUGUCACAUUUUUAAAUGCUGCUUCGGAUUUUUUUAAAGAUUUUAUUUCAAAGUAAUCUUACACUGAAUGUGGGGCUCGAACCCACAACCCCAAUACCAGAGUCUCAUGCGCCUCUGUCCAGCUAGGCACUCCCAGACGGCAUUUUAAAAUGUUCCAUUUGUGUGUUGCUAUUACAUGGGAACACGCUGAGCUUUUCCUUAUUGGUCUUGCGUCCUGCUUAUCUGCUCAGCUCACACGGUAUUUUUAUGCAUCUCACAGAAGACCGCGUUGCCUGUGAAUAAAGACAAUCGCACACUUCCUUUUCCAGUCUGGAUGCCCUUUAUUUCUCCUCCAUGACUCGGCCCUGGCUGGCCCUGCAGUAUGACUCUGAGUUGAUGCGGUGCGGCUGAAGGGCCUUGCCCUGUUCUUGAACUUGGGGGAAAGCAUUCCGUCUUUCCCCAUUACGCACGAUGUUGGCUAAAGGUGCUCUUCGUUCUCAUCGUGGCAGAAUAAAAACAUAAAGAUGUAGCCAUCGACCCAUUUUUCAGCGCACAACUCAGCGGCAUCCAGAACAUUCACAACAUCACCACAUUUAUUUCCACCACAUUUAUUGCCAAAUUUUGUACGUCACCACAAACGAAACCCUGUCCCCACCAAACCAAAACUCCUCAUUCCCCCUCCUCCAGCUCCUGGUAACCUCUAAUCUACUUUCUGUCCUAUGAAUUUCCUUAUUUUAGAUAUUUCAUGUAAGUUGUACAGUGUCUGUCCUUUUGUAUCUGGUUUCUUUCACUUAGAGUAACUUUUCAAUGUUCUCCCACGUCAUAACAUGUAUCAGAACGUUACUCCUCUUUUUUUUUUUUUUUGUAAGAUUUUAUUUAUUUAUUUGACAGAGGGGGGGGAGGAAGCAGGCUCCCCGCUGAGCAGAGAGCCCGAUGCGGGGCUCGAUCCCAGGACCCUGAGAUCAUGACCUGAGCCGAAGGCAGAAGCUUAACCCACUGAGCCACCCAGGCGCCCCGAACUUUACUCCUCUUAUGGCUGCAAAACCUCCCCCUGCACGAACAGACCACAUUUCGCUUAUUCAGUUCAAAAUACUUCCUAACUUCCCUGCAGGUCCCCUUGCCAACAGGUUUUUAUUUGACCCAGGCUCUACAGGAUACACUCUUUAGUAUCCAGCUUCCAGAUCACGCACUUCCCAAAGCGCUGCUGGGGAAGCGGGCGCCGCCCACGACGAAGCCACGUGCUUCCGCUGCUUGGCCAGUGUCUGCUCGGGAUCCGUCUUUCUUGGUCUGCCAGGCCAGCUCCUGCCACUUGUUCAUGCACUUUUCUGCUUCCAAAACACAGUGCUCAUUCUCUCUGUCCUUGUGGGUGUUCUUAUUUUUAUUGUGGUAAAAUAAACACUAGAUAAAAUUUACCACUAUAACCAUUUAUCCUUGUAGAGUUGAAAGGCAUUAAGUGCAAUCACUGUGGAGUGACUAGCAGCACCCUCCACCUCCAGAACUUCUCAUCAGGCCAAGUGCAAAUACCUGCCCUUCCCCUCGCCCCGGCACCCACCAUUCUUUUCGGCUUCCAUGAACAAGGAUAUCCAAGGCCCUCUUAAGAGUGGACUCAUAACAGCACCUUUUUCUGAACUGGCUUAUUUCACUGACCAUAAUGUCCUCCAGUUUCAUCCAUGUUGUACAUGUGUUAGAAUUCCCUGCAUUUUUUUAGGUUGAACAAUACUGCCUUGUAGGGACGGAGCACCUUCCGUUUAUCUGCUCAUCUACUGAAGAACACUUGAGCCGUGCCCCCCCCCCCCUUAGCUGUUGUGAAUCUGAGUGUAUAAAUAUCUAUCUGUUCAAGUCUCUGCUUUCAAUUCUUUUAGGUAAAUACACAGAAGUGGAGUUGAUGAUUCUACGGUAAUUCUGUGUUUCAUUUGUGAGGAGCUGCCAAACUGUUUUCCAAAGUGGCUGCACCAUGGCACAUUCCCUUGUUGCUGUUUUUCCCUCUCUCCUUAAAAAAAAAAAAUUCCUCCCUGUUCAUUUAGCAGGACUUCAGAGUAGAGUCCGAAUAAAUUAUGUGUUCCAUCUGA
This is a long non-coding RNA of Mustela lutreola (European mink), 2252 nucleotides long. RefSeq lists it as uncharacterized. The transcript has 3 exons. Lineage: Eukaryota; Metazoa; Chordata; Mammalia; Carnivora; Mustelidae. The record is from RefSeq and is a predicted model, not a curated record.